AGGACGAACGCUGGCGGCGUGCUUAACACAUGCAAGUCGAGCGGAAAGGCCCUUCGGGGUACUCGAGCGGCGAACGGGUGAGUAACACGUGAGUAAUCUGCCCCUAGCUCUGGGAUAGCUCCGGGAAACCGGGAUUAAUACCAGAUACGACCACUUUAGACAUCUGUUGUGGUGGAAAGAAUUUUGGCUAGGGAUGAGCUCGCGGCCUAUCAGCUUGUUGGUGAGGUAACGGCUCACCAAGGCGACGACGGGUAGCCGGCCUGAGAGGGCGACCGGCCACACUGGGACUGAGACACGGCCCAGACUCCUACGGGAGGCAGCAGUGGGGAAUAUUGCGCAAUGGGCGAAAGCCUGACGCAGCGACGCCGCGUGGGGAUGAAGGCCUUCGGUUGUAAACCCUUUCAGCAGGGACGAAGCGAAAGUGACGGUACCGUGCGAGAAGAAGCGCCGGCUAACUACGUAGCCGAGCAGCCGC
This 475-nucleotide ribosomal RNA is filed under the name uncultured bacterium. RNAcentral describes it as "SSU rRNA". It matches the Rfam family "Bacterial small subunit ribosomal RNA", at positions 26 to 518 of the family's 1533-position model. The record is from RNAcentral.